This 792-nucleotide ribosomal RNA is filed under the name uncultured archaeon. RNAcentral's name for it is "bacterial SSU rRNA". It matches the Rfam family "Archaeal small subunit ribosomal RNA", at positions 85 to 878 of the family's 1478-position model. The record is from RNAcentral.
ACUGCUCAGUAACACGUGGACAACCUACCCUUAGGACGGGGAUAAACCCGGGAAACUGGGUAUAAUACCCGAUAGAUCUCGGCUGCUGGAAUGCAUCGAGAUCUAAAGCUCCGGCGCCUAAGGAUGGGUCUGCGGCCUAUCAGGUAGUAGUGGGUGUAGUGUACCUGCUAGCCUACGACGGGUACGGGUUGUGAGAGCAAGAGCCCGGAGAUGGAUUCUGAGACACGAAUCCAGGCCCUACGGGGUGCAGCAGGCGCGAAAACUUUACAAUGCUGGCAACAGCGAUAAGGGGACCUCGAGUGCCAGGUUACAAAUCUGGCUGUCGUGAUGCCUAAAAAGCAUUGCAUAGCAAGGGCCGGGCAAGACCGGUGCCAGCCGCCGCGGUAACACCGGCGGCUCGAGUGGUAACCGUUAUUAUUGGGUCUAAAGGGUCUGUAGCCGGCCGGAUAAGUCUCUUGGGAAAUCUGGCAGCUUAACUGUCAGGCUUUCAGGAGAUACUGUCUGGCUCGAGGCCGGGAGAGGUGAGAGGUACUUCAGGGGUAGGGGUGAAAUCUUGUAAUCCUUGAAGGACCACCAGUGGCGAAGGCGUCUCACCAGAACGGACCUGACGGCAAGGGACGAAAGCUAGGGGCACGAACCGGAUUAGAUACCCGGGUAGUCCUAGCCGUAAACGAUACUCGCUAGGUGUCGGCCACGGUGCGACCGUUGUCGGUGCCGUAGGGAAGCCGUGAAGCGAGCCACCUGGGAAGUACGGCCGCAAGGCUGAAACUUAAAGGAAUUGGCGGGGGAGCA